Molecule: small nuclear RNA, 105 nt
Organism: Bos taurus (domestic cattle)
Lineage: Eukaryota; Metazoa; Chordata; Mammalia; Artiodactyla; Bovidae
Gene: U5
Rfam family: U5 spliceosomal RNA
About the family: U5 RNA is a component of both types of known spliceosome. The precise function of this molecule is unknown, though it is known that the 5' loop is required for splice site selection and p220 binding, and that both the 3' stem-loop and the Sm site are important for Sm protein binding and cap methylation.
Source: Ensembl
AUAUUCUGCUUCUCUUUCUAUCAUAUAAAUCUUUCACCUUUUACUAAAAAUUUCUGUGGAGAAGAAUAAUUCUGAGUUCAAGAGGGAGAUGAUACAUGUAUAAUU